RNAcentral lists this ribosomal RNA (198 nucleotides) under Escherichia coli. RNAcentral describes it as "partial 16S ribosomal RNA". It matches the Rfam family "Bacterial small subunit ribosomal RNA", at positions 1 to 206 of the family's 1533-position model. The record is from RNAcentral. Lineage: Bacteria; Pseudomonadati; Pseudomonadota; Gammaproteobacteria; Enterobacterales; Enterobacteriaceae. RNAcentral also lists the same sequence under 2 other names.
AAAUUGAAGAGUUUGAUCAUGGCUCAGAUUGAACGCUGGCGGCAGGCCUAACACAUGCAAGUCGAACGGUAACAGGAAACAGCUUGCUGUUUCGCUGACGAGUGGCGGACGGGUGAGUAAUGUCUGGGAAACUGCCUGAUGGAGGGGGAUAACUACUGGAAACGGUAGCUAAUACCGCAUAACGUCGCAAGACCAAAG